GAAAACUUUGCCUGGGGUGAGUGCAAAUUUUCAGCUUUGUUACUUGUUCUUCACAUUUUGUUAUUGAUUUUGUUGCACAUUGUAGAUUAAAGUUGGUGGGAAUUUCAGCCAUUAUAGUUUCAUUUACUGAUCUCUGCAUCUUACUUAGAAAUAUUUAUUGACUAGUCUUUAAAAAUGGCUGUUUAUGACAAUUGCCAACCGUAGUUUAGCAGUGAGGUAGAGAGAAUUACUUGGGUAAAUGGAAUUAUUUCUGCAUUGUUUGAUACGUGGCCACAACUUAUUUAAUGUAUGACGUAAGCAUGAUGAAUUAGCAGCCUCACUAAUUGUCAAGUCAGUUAGUAAUUACAGAGUCAAUAAUGCUCUGAAAACAGUCUUUAAGUCUCUAAAUAUGAAGCAAGAAUUCAGUAAAGCUCUCACAAGAAUAUCUUAUUUACUCUUGCACCUAUUAA
RNAcentral lists this unclassified non-coding RNA (449 nucleotides) under Hevea brasiliensis (rubber tree). The record is from RNAcentral. Lineage: Eukaryota; Viridiplantae; Streptophyta; Magnoliopsida; Malpighiales; Euphorbiaceae.